UACGGAGGGUGCAAGCGUUAUCCGGAUUCACUGGGUUUAAAGGGUGCGUAGGUGGGUUGAUAAGUCAGUGGUGAAAUCCCCGAGCUUAACUUGGGAACUGCCAUUGAUACUGACGGGCUUGAGUACAGACGAGGUUGGCGGAAUUGAUUGUGUAGCGGUGAAAUGCAUAGAUACAAUCAAGAACUCCGAUUGCGUAGGCAGCUAACUAGGCUGUAACUGACGCUGAGGCACGAAAGCGUGGGGAGCGAACAGG
Molecule: ribosomal RNA, 253 nt
Filed under: uncultured prokaryote
Description: partial 16S ribosomal RNA
Rfam family: Bacterial small subunit ribosomal RNA
Source: RNAcentral